UCCGAACAAAUCCCCUGCUAUUGUGCAAAGUGCUAAAACAACGCUUCACUCAGCUGUUCAAACAGGUAGCAUGGAAACACUGGAGCUGUGUUGAAGUUGAUCAGGCAGCAGACAUCCUCUGAACAAACAGCACCGAGGUCCAGACCCUCAGUGGGACACAUGAGAGAAGACGACACAGCAGACGCUCUGCAGUGAAAUGCUUGUGGAUGGUUAACGAGGCUUUAACCUCUGCACUGUGGGAGGGAAGCAGUGCAGAAACACAGCACAGACCUCUGAGUGGACUGUAAUCACAAGCUUACAUGAGACAAUGAAGGGCAGUGGACCAGCGUCCAGUGUGAUGAGUUGGACGCGCUGGGAACUUUCACCAGUUUGGAGAGACGACAAACAAAUGAUUGCAGCAUUUGCUGUUUCAGAUGUCACCUCUUCCUGUGUGUGUACUUAGCCUUCUGCCUCGUGAAGCUUCCAAAAGCCUCUGAGCCCAGCAGAAGCUUGGGAAACGGAGGGUGCGAGUGGAAACGCUGCCGCGUACUCCUGUCACUCAGCACUCCAGGGAACAGCCUGAGCCAGGCCGAGCCAGGCCGAGCCAGGCCGAGCAAGCCGGACCAGGGCCAGAGCCCUGCAGUGAUAGAAGAUACUGUCAGAACAUCCUGAAAACCUCUGUCACCGAGGACAUCUGUGUCCUUAUCUGUGUCCACACUAACACACGGUCAUGUGUUUGUCAGUGUAAACAGGAAGCAGAUUCUCUCCUCUGCAGUUCUUUGACAAUAUUACCAAAGAGAAACAACAAUGGUGAACAAUAACGACACCGAUGUCGAGCUGAAAUCGAAAGCAAGAGUUUUUCCUUCAUGGCUGAUUUUGUCGUCAAUAAAAAAAGAAAAACAA
Solea senegalensis (Senegalese sole) is the source of this 882-nucleotide long non-coding RNA. RefSeq lists it as uncharacterized. The transcript has 3 exons. Lineage: Eukaryota; Metazoa; Chordata; Actinopteri; Pleuronectiformes; Soleidae. The record is from RefSeq and is a predicted model, not a curated record.